RNAcentral lists this ribosomal RNA (608 nucleotides) under uncultured fungus. RNAcentral describes it as "eukaryotic LSU rRNA". It matches the Rfam family "Eukaryotic large subunit ribosomal RNA", at positions 38 to 667 of the family's 3401-position model. Lineage: Eukaryota; Fungi. The record is from RNAcentral.
GCAUAUCAAUAAGCGGAGGAAAAGAAACCAACAGGGAUUGCUCUAGUAACGGCGAGUGAAGCAGCAAUAGCUCAAAUUUGAAAUCUGGCGUCUUCGACGUCCGAGUUGUAAUUUGUAGGGGAUGCUUCUGAGUGGCCACCGACCUAAGUUCCUUGGAACAGGACGUCAUAGAGGGUGAGAAUCCCGUAUGCGGUCGGAAAGGCGCUCUAUACGUAGCUCCUUCGACGAGUCGAGUUGUUUGGGAAUGCAGCUCUAAAUGGGAGGUAAAUUUCUUCUAAAGCUAAAUAUUGGCCAGAGACCGAUAGCGCACAAGUAGAGUGAUCGAAAGAUGAAAAGCACUUUGGAAAGAGAGUUAAAAAGCACGUGAAAUUGUUAAAAGGGAAGGGAUUGCAACCAGACUUGCUCGCGGUGUUCCGCCGGUCUUCUGACCGGUCUACUCGCCGCGUUGCAGGCCAGCAUCGUCUGGUGCCGCUGGAUAAGACUUGAGGAAUGUAGCUCCCUCGGGAGUGUUAUAGCCUCUUGUGAUGCAGCGAGCGCCGGGCGAGGUCCGCGCUUCGGCUAGGAUGCUGGCGUAAUGGUCGUAAUCCGCCCGUCUUGAAACACGGACC